This 460-nucleotide ribosomal RNA is filed under the name uncultured bacterium. Its description in RNAcentral is "partial 16S ribosomal RNA". It matches the Rfam family "Bacterial small subunit ribosomal RNA", at positions 338 to 795 of the family's 1533-position model. The record is from RNAcentral.
CCUACGGGAGGCAGCAGUGAGGAAUAUUGGUCAAUGGGCGAGAGCCUGAACCAGCCAAGUCGCGUGAAGGAUGACGGCCCUACGGGUUGUAAACUUCUUUUGUCAGGGAGCAAUUGGGUCCACGCGUGGGCUUAGCGAGAGUACCUGAAGAAAAAGCAUCGGCUAACUCCGUGCCAGCAGCCGCGGUAAUACGGAGGAUGCGAGCGUUAUCCGGAUUUAUUGGGGUUAAAGGGUGCGUAGGCGGAAUAUCAAGUCAGCGGUAAAAAUUCGGGGCUCAACCCCGUCGUGCCGUUGAUACUGAUGGUCUUGAGAGGGUGAGAAGGAUGCGGAAUGCGUGGUGUAGCGGUGAAAUGCAUAGAUAUCACGCAGAACGCCGAUUGCGAAGGCAGCAUACCGGCGCCCAACUGACGCUGAAGCACGAAAGCGUGGGUAUCGAACAGGAUUAGAUACCCGAGUAGUC